CCUACGGGUGGCAGCAGUGAGGAAUAUUGGUCAAUGGGCGAGAGCCUGAACCAGCCAAGUCGCGUGAAGGAUGACGGCCCUACGGGUUGUACACUUCUUUUGUCAGGGAGCAAUUGGGUCCACGCGUGGGCUUAGCUAUAGUACCUGAAGAAAAAGCAUCGGCUAACUCCGUUCCAGCAGCCGCGGUAAUACGGAGGAUGCGAGCGUUAUCCGGAUUUAUUGGGUUUAAAGGGUGCGUAGGCGGACUAUCAAGUCAGCGGUAAAGAUUCGGGGCUAAACCCCGUCGUGCCGUUGAAACUGAUGUUCUUGAGUGGGCGAGAGGUAUGCGGAAUGCGUGGUGUAGCGGUGAAAUGCAUAGAUAUCACGCAGAACUCCGAUUGCGAAGGCAGCAUACCGGCGCCCAACUGACGCUGAAGCACGAAAGCGUGGGUAUCGAACAGGAUUAGAUACCCUUGUAGUC
RNAcentral lists this ribosomal RNA (460 nucleotides) under uncultured bacterium. RNAcentral describes it as "partial 16S ribosomal RNA". It matches the Rfam family "Bacterial small subunit ribosomal RNA", at positions 338 to 795 of the family's 1533-position model. The record is from RNAcentral.